CGUCUUGAUAUUAAAAACCGCUAUUUAAAUUUCAAUCUAAUAGAGUGACAAAAAUGAUGUGUUCUUUGUUUUGAACAUGUUUUGAUGACCGUAGAUCAAACCGAUAAUAUGCCGUAUUGAUGAAUACAAUUCAAUAUGGUCAAUGUAAGCCCUUGUAAAGAUAGAAACUUUUCAAAAAUAUUGUUCUGAGAUAAAAUCAUUUUUUUAGUGAUUUGUUCAAAGUGGUCAGUAAAAUCUCACGAGUAUUUCUUCGUAAAUUCUAUUUUAUUCGUAUAAACGAAAAUACGUUUUUUCCAUUU
This is a non-coding RNA of Cinara cedri, 299 nucleotides long. The record is from the annotation of a GenBank genome assembly. NCBI's taxonomy places the organism in Eukaryota, Metazoa, Arthropoda, Insecta, Hemiptera, Aphididae.